CAUGGCUCAGGACGAACGCUGGCGGCGUGCCUAAUACAUGCAAGUCGAGCGAAUCUUUAGGAGCUUGCUCCUGAGGGUUAGCGGCGGACGGGUGAGUAACACGUGGGCAACCUGCCUGUAAGACUGGGAUAACUUCGGGAAACCGGAGCUAAUACCGGAUAAUCCUUUCCCUCUCAUGAGGGAAAGCUGAAAGUCGGUUUCGGCUGACACUUACAGAUGGGCCCGCGGCGCAUUAGCUAGUUGGUGAGGUAACGGCUCACCAAGGCGACGAUGCGUAGCCGACCUGAGAGGGUGAUCGGCCACACUGGGACUGAGACACGGCCCAGACUCCUACGGGAGGCAGCAGUAGGGAAUCUUCCGCAAUGGACGAAAGUCUGACGGAGCAACGCCGCGUGAGCGAUGAAGGCCUUCGGGUCGUAAAGCUCUGUUGUUAGGGAAGAACAAGUAUCGGAGUAACUGCCGGUACCUUGACGGUACCUAACCAGAAAGCCACGGCUAACUACGUGCCAGCAGCCGCGGUAAUACGUAGGUGGCAAGCGUUGUCCGGAAUUAUUGGGCGUAAAGCGCGCGCAGGCGGUCCUUUAAGUCUGAUGUGAAAGCCCACGGCUCAACCGUGGGAGGGUCAUUGGAAACUGGGGAACUUGAGUGCAGAAGAGGAAAGCGGAAUUUCCACGUGUAGCGGGUGAAAUGCGUUAGGAGAUGGUGGGAGGGAACACCCAGUGGGGCGAAAGGGCGGCCUUUUCCUGGGUCUUGUAACUGACCGCUUGAGNGCGGAAAGGCGUGGGGGAGCAAACAGGGAAUUAGAAUACCUGG
RNAcentral lists this ribosomal RNA (813 nucleotides) under uncultured Bacillus sp. Its description in RNAcentral is "bacterial SSU rRNA". It matches the Rfam family "Bacterial small subunit ribosomal RNA", at positions 18 to 790 of the family's 1533-position model. Lineage: Bacteria; Bacillati; Bacillota; Bacilli; Caryophanales; Bacillaceae. The record is from RNAcentral.